UUGAUGUAUCUGUUUUAAUAUUCCUCUGGUCAUAGAGCUUUUCAGAUGGAUGCUGAGGUUUUUUAGGUCAGGUAGAAUCUGCGAUCUCUGAUCCAGUUCGUUUGCUGGCUUCCUUGGCGGUAAUACGCUGUGUUUUCCACCAACUGGCAACCCGGGGUCUCAAAAUCCUAUUGGUUUAAUUGGCAGUGGGCGGAGUCACACAGACCAAAACAAAACCCAACAUUCUGACACGGAACACACAUUUCAAAGCAAAGUAAAUGGCAUUGUUUUUCAGAGAAAGUUAACGUGUUUUCUAAAUAUCUGCAGGUAUUUUAUGCUUCAGUGCAGCCAAAAUAUUACAUACAUACAGCGCCUUUAAGGCAGUAAGAUCAUAAGCUUUACUGGGAACACAAAAGGCACAGAAUACCUGCAAUGACCUGCAAAUACUUCUUGUAUAUUGUUGCGUACUCUUCUACACCAAUUUUGAUAUUAAUUUUCACUGAAUUUUGCCUUUGCAGGGCAGCAAACCUGAACAACAUUAAAUAGCAAUAUUCUGUAGUACUGUAAUGUUUUUGACAGUAUCUACCUGUAUCUAAAGCAAGAACCCUUGCUGUAAAGGAGUGAUUUUUGCUUGCCCUUCGGUUCCUCAGAAAGACGGAAGAAAGCAUGGUAUUCCACACACAUCUUCCAGAAGGCCUUGCAGACGUCACGACUGGCCAUAGCAAACUCGACCGUGUCCUUACGAGACUCCUGAACAGACACAAUGAUGCAAAACCAGAUUUUCAGAUGACACAGUCGCUACCUGAAAAACCAGCACUCCAGAGUGAGUGACGGCUAAAUUGAUUCUCAUGUCUUCUCCAUCGCUGGCGGCGUGAGGCCGGAUGCCGUACAUGUCCAGCUUACGGGCCACUUCAAGCAACUGACCAUCCGCUUCAGCUGGGGAUUGACCUCUACAGCACAGAGAAAACACAUCCGGGUGUUGUUUUUAAGUCUGCAUCUGUGACAAAUGAUCCAUGAUCCUUCAGAAACCAUCAAAAACAUUUCAUCUUAUUGUCAGUGUUGACAUCUGUGCUUGCUGCUUAAAGGAACCACUCCUCACUAUCAACAGCUGCUUAUUAGCAUGCAUAUUACCAACAUAUAGGCUGUUUAUUGAUAUUUAUCAAGCACAUAUUAAUGCUUUAAUCUACAUGAGCAUAUUUUAGAUCUCUUAAUCCAAC
This is a long non-coding RNA of Cyprinus carpio carpio, 1196 nucleotides long. The record is from Ensembl. Lineage: Eukaryota; Metazoa; Chordata; Actinopteri; Cypriniformes; Cyprinidae.